CUCAAUUUGCCCAUCUAUAAAACGGUGGAUGAGAACCCCACAGCGUUGAGAUCACCAAAUGGACUUAGACAUGAGCUAUAUUAAUGCUGCAAAGGAAUAUUAUGAGAUUUGCAUGUAAACACCACUUAGCUCAGUGGGAAAUGUGUUGCAUGAGCUGUGGCGUGCAAGCGGGAAGUUAAGUGUGCAAAAGAGCACGUGCAGAGAACUGCCACUUGCACUGAUGCUGCAGAUGCAAUUCUGAACAUAAUUCUUCUUUUUUCUGUGCAGUUUUGCAGACCGGACCCCUCAACUGACCAUUUUCCUGCACACCUCAGAAAAGGAGAUCUAUUUGGACCCCGGCCAGCAAAAUGAUUAGAAAAGCCUUCAUCUCCUUGGGAUCCUCUCAGCUUGCAGAGAAAAGGACAGCUUCUCCGGUGGGGACGACUGAUUGCCUUGGCAAACCAGGACAGCAGUUUUAAAGGCUUGGUCGCAGAGCCAACACAGCUCUGAUAGUCUGGAUUGACUUUUGUUUACAAUUUACAAAAACAGACAAAGCAAAAACAAAAGGAAAUCUUCAUAUGAGAGAAAGAGAGAGAGAGCACAGUGUAUGCAACUCCUUCUGUAACAGCCAUCCUGAACUGACAAACAGCACUGCUUCUAGUGGGAAGAGAAGAAGACACAAUCCAUUUGAAGGUGCUGUACAUGUGAGAUGUUAUCUGAUUAAAAUAUGACCAUGUAGACCAUUGUUACUA
This is a long non-coding RNA of Chelonoidis abingdonii (Abingdon island giant tortoise), 731 nucleotides long. RefSeq lists it as uncharacterized. The record is from RefSeq and is a predicted model, not a curated record. Lineage: Eukaryota; Metazoa; Chordata; Testudines; Testudinidae.